CAAUAUAGUUCAUUUUCGAGCCAGAAAUGUCAACGGCGACUGAGAAACACACCGAUAAUGCCGGCCUCAGUUAGAGCUUUCCUACUGUUUUUGGUGUAAAUGAAAUGGAAAGGGUUAAGGCUCAUUAAUCCAUCCCAUGGAAAUGCAGUUGAAUGUCAGGCGCCAUUAUUCGCACGAAAACAAACUCUUUCACAUCAUGCCAGCUUGACUGAACAAAUGAACUAUUAUAAGCAUGCUCAGAAACAACAUGAUGAUCUUCAAG
This is a long non-coding RNA of Stylophora pistillata, 262 nucleotides long. The record is from RefSeq and is a predicted model, not a curated record. Lineage: Eukaryota; Metazoa; Cnidaria; Anthozoa; Scleractinia; Pocilloporidae.